This 159-nucleotide non-coding RNA is filed under the name Chloropicon mariensis. Lineage: Eukaryota; Viridiplantae; Chlorophyta; Chloropicophyceae; Chloropicales; Chloropicaceae. The record is from RNAcentral.
GAUUGGAUCAGCACAGAAUCAGAAUCAGCACAAGCGGACGUCUAGCAGCAAAAGUAACAACUCGAACUCUUCGCUUGGAGCAAAUAGCUCGAGGAGAAGCGGGAGGGUGAGACACCUGGAGGAAGAGAAGAGAAGGCAGGAGGAAAUCGAAGCAGAGAG